AUCUGCCUUUGAGCGGGGGACAACAUUUGGAAACGAAUGCUAAUACCGCAUAACAACUUUAAACACAAGUUCUAAGUUUGAAAGAUGCAAUUGCAUCACUCAAAGAUGAUCCCGCGUUGUAUUAGCUAGUUGGUGAGGUAAAGGCUCACCAAGGCGAUGAUACAUAGCCGACCUGAGAGGGUGAUCGGCCACAUUGGGACUGAGACACGGCCCAAACUCCUACGGGAGGCAGCAGUAGGGAAUCUUCGGCAAUGGACGAAAGUCUGACCGAGCAACGCCGCGUGAGUGAAGAAGGUUUUCGGAUCGUAAAACUCUGUUGGUAGAGAAGAACGUUGGUGAGAGUGGAAAGCUCAUCAAGUGACGGUAACUACCCAGAAAGGGACGGCUAACUACGUGCCAGCAACCGCGGUAAUACGUAGGUCCCGAGCGUUGUCCGGAUUUAUUGGGCGUAAAGCGAGCGCAGGUGGUUUAUUAAGUCUGGUGUAAAAGGCAGUGGCUCAGCCAUUGUAUGCAUUGGAAACUGGUAGACUUGAGUGCAGGAGAGGAGAGUGGAAUUCCAUGUGUAGCGGUGAAAUGCGUAGAUAUAUGGAGGAACACCGGUGGCGAAAGCGGCUCUCUGGCCUGUAACUGACACUGAGGCUCGAAAGCGUGGGGAGCAAGCAGGAUUAGAUACCCUGGUAGUCCACGCCGUAAACGAUGAGUGCUA
This 706-nucleotide ribosomal RNA is filed under the name uncultured bacterium. RNAcentral's name for it is "bacterial SSU rRNA". It matches the Rfam family "Bacterial small subunit ribosomal RNA", at positions 124 to 818 of the family's 1533-position model. The record is from RNAcentral.